CAUCCACUCGGCCAACGUGAUCCACCGCGACCUGAAGCCCAGCAACCUGCUGCUGAACGCCAACUGCGACCUCAAGAUCUGCGACUUCGGGCUGGCCCGGCCGUCCUCCGAGAGCGACAUGAUGACGGAGUACGUGGUGACGCGGUGGUACCGCGCCCCCGAGCUCCUGCUCAACUCCACUGACUACUCGGCCGCCAUCGACGUCUGGUCCGUCGGCUGCAUCUUCAUGGAGCUCAUCAACCGCCAGCCCCUCUUCCCCGGCCGCGACCACAUGCACCAGAUGCGCCUCAUCACCGAGGUAACUUUCGGCGUCUCGGGUUGCACGAUGGCAUUUCAGUAUUUCACUCGUGUAUCUCUGACGCCUUCGACCUAUCAUCAUCAUCAUCGGCAGGUGAUCGGGACGCCGACGGAUGAGGAGCUCGGGUUCAUCCGGAACGAGGACGCGCGCAAGUACAUGCGGCACCUGCCGCAGUUCCCGCGGCGGCCGUUCGCGAGCCUGUUCCCGAGGGUGCAGCCCGUGGCGCUGGACCUCAUCGAGCGGAUGCUCACCUUCAACCCGCUGCAGAGGAUCACAGGUCAGCCACACCGGCUCGCCGCCGCGGUUUUGAUUUGCUUUUCUUUUAUCCUCGUGCAACUCGUGCGGCUGCUGAAUCUUUGGGUAUACUCCACGUGCGGUUUUCUAUUCUUGCGUGUUGACCGGUGGUAGAAUCACUGUUCACUACCAUAUUGACGUCGGUGGUUAGUAGUACGUGAGGGCCACUGGCUACCCUUGUGUAUAGGCAAGGAAACACUGGCACAUUUCCGGGUUGGCAUCAAGUAGACAUGGUACUGGCGGCCUCCGGUCAAAGAAAGAGGCGUGCCCUGAGCUAGGUCUGUCCGUCCAAUUUUGAGUAGCUUGACUGUUCUGGUCAGGUUCAAAUGCAAUCUUCUUUGUCCAAAGUAGAAACAUUUAAUAAUCCGCAGGGUUUUGUCAGGGUUUCCGGUCAGGGUUGGGUAGGUUUCUUCGUUGAAUUGAGACCAUAACAGUCUAACGGAAAAGGGCGGCGUCACUUCUGUCAUUCUGUCAUGAAACAUUUAAGCGCUAUACCCUUGUAUUUAAGGUCCACUGCUAGUUCGCUACUUGCUAGCAUGAAUCUCACUUUUGUUCAGUUUGUUGCCUACCGUUCAACUGAUAGAACAAUAUCCCAGUGGGCUUGCAAAUUUGCAGCUAAAAAGCUGAUCCACAGCAAGUUAGU
Molecule: long non-coding RNA, 1235 nt
Filed under: Setaria viridis
Lineage: Eukaryota; Viridiplantae; Streptophyta; Magnoliopsida; Poales; Poaceae
Description: long non-coding RNA (SVIR_LNC011342)
Source: RNAcentral